This 2448-nucleotide long non-coding RNA is filed under the name Sus scrofa (pig). RNAcentral describes it as "lncRNA (ENSSSCG00050071549.1)". Lineage: Eukaryota; Metazoa; Chordata; Mammalia; Artiodactyla; Suidae. The record is from RNAcentral.
UCGGCCGCCUCUGGGUCCCGCUUGAAAUUCUGUAGAAGCCUGAAAGCUCGCGGAGCGCGGACUCCGAGUGAGUUUGAGGAUGUGUGCGGCUGGUGGCUGCGCCGGGGCCCCCGCGGAGAAGGUGGGGGGCCCCGACACCCGCUUGCUUGGACCGUGCGCUAUGAGAAGAUGCUUCCCCUGAAGGGAAUGGAGUACCAAUCACUGGCACUAUUGGAAAAACUGAUAGAAGGCUGUGGAUUACAGACAGAUGAGGAAACUGAGGCACUGAGGACUUCAGGAACUUGCCCACUGUUUCACAGCCAGGAAGAGGCAGAUUGCAGAUUUGGAGCCCAGAGAGUGCUGUUCUUAGUGUACACUGCCUCCUUGAUGCUGCUGGUCUCCCCCGGUGCCACCUCCAGCUUCGGGCUCCAGAACCUUCACGGUCAGGCUCUGGGUUCUGACCUUUUCCUGUCUUCAGCAACUAAAGAAUAAGAAGCAGGCAGAGACACAGAUGCUCCACGGCAGCCCUCCACGGACACCCAGCAAGCGGCGAGGUCUGGCACCCAGCACUCUGGGCAAAGUGCGCAAGGUUCUAAGCUCCCAGGAUUCCAUUAUCACUGAGAUGCUAAGAGUGAACAGAUGUAAAGUGUCAAAAGCUAAAUGAGAAAAAGAAGAGAACGGUCAUUCGGAGCCCCAGCAAGUAUCAUGGAACGCCCUGGAAUGUGCCCAGGAAACUAGAGUCACCGGAGGCUCACUUCAAAAGCUGGUCUUCAGUUGCGGCUGAGCAAAGUCCCGGCCUGCGGGUUCCAGCCCGUUGACACUGGAUCACGAAACACAAAUAGGUGUCAUUACUUCUACCAGUUUGAGGAGAAAAACACCCGCUGGUGUCAAGCCUGGAACCAAUGAGAAGAACCUGGAGCUCAUUGGCAGCAUCCUCAGUGAAGGAUCCGUCCCUUUCUGACAGCUCCACUGUUGGGCUUCAGGCACUGUUUGCACUACUGGAAGCAAAAGCACAGAGGAAUCAACACCAUCUUCAACUGGUGGGACAGGUUUCCUUGCUGUGCUCCUCUGAUGGAUGUGCAAGAUCAAGGAAUAUUCGGCAGGAGGGCGAGAGGGAGAGAAGUCUCCCGGGGAGAUGGUAAGGCGCUGCAUCGAGAUUCUUACCUGUUUCACAGAGGGACUUAAAGCUGACAUAUGUGUCCCUAACAAAGACAGAGUCAGGUAGGAAGAGUCCUGCUCAGUGAUUUUUUGCUUUGGCUUCAGGUAAUUUGUUUUUGACUCAUCCAACAGCCCUGACAGAAUGAAAGAAUAGGCAUCAAGAAGUCAUGAGUUCCCGUUGUGUCUCAGCAGGUUGAGAACCUGGCAUAGUGUCCACAAGGAUGGGGGUUAGAUGCCUGGCCUCACUCAGUGGAGUUAAGGAUCCAGCACCACCACAAGCUGUGGCGUAGGUCGAAUAUGCUGCUCAGAUCUGGAUCCAGCAUUGCUGUGGCUGAGGUAUAGGGCUGCAGCUGCAGCUCCCAUUCAGCCUCUCGCCCAGGAACUUCCACAUGCCACAGGUACAGCAGUAAAAAGAAAAAGAAAAAAAGAAUCAAGAAGCGAGAAACUCUCUCUCUUCCCUGCUUAGCUAUGAGCAUAGAGAGUAAAGGUAGAUUAGGAUGAGAGUCAGAGGUCUUCAGUCUAGUGCAGUGGUGAACAAAACUGCAGGCCUAGUUUGAAUUUAUGUGCCCCAGACAAGCCUAGCUUUGCUAAGGCCGUUCCGUUUUCUGUCUUUGAACUGUUGUUACAGAACAAAACUUGGGUCUGUUCGCCCACUGCUCAGUAAAACCACUGUACUGACCCUGAGUUGUGGUGGAGAAAAUACGGCAUUAUUGUCCAUGCCACGCAGAGUGUGUGGGCACGUCAUGCUCAAAAGGCUCCAACUCCCAGCGGCUUUGGGGCAAAGGUUUUGAAGACAGUGGUAGGGAGAGGGUCACAGGACGCGUCGCCAGCUCGUCGUCCCUCUUCUGAUUGGUCAGUGGGGAUGUAACAGGGCUUCCUCACCCUGAUGUUUCAAGAAUCUCCACCUUCAGGUUCCAGCCAGUCUGGGGUCCACAUGCGUGUGGUCAGUUUAUAGUCACCACCCUCUGCCACCUGGUGGAAGGCGGUCUUACUUUCUGCAGAACAACUCGAAGGUAUGCAUCAGACGUUUAUCCGUAGCCCCCCAGGAGGGACUGGGAGGCCUCUGCCUUUUGUCCUGAUCUUUAGCUGCUUGAGUCAGGUCUUUGGAACUCAGGGAGGCUCUAGGAGACAAAAGCCUUUUUCUUCUCCUACGAAUAAGAGACAGGGACACAGAGGGGUUUCGUACCUGGGAAGUUCCCAGAGGACCCUGCCGCUGCAGCCCCUCCCUUCCCUUGAUGCUCCUCGGUCUUGAAGGGGAACAGGUGCUGCAGGAAAGGGAAUAAAGUCUUGGAUGGAGACGUUAGUCCUACA